RNAcentral lists this transfer RNA (95 nucleotides) under Bacteroidota bacterium. Its description in RNAcentral is "Bacteroidetes bacterium tRNA-Ile". It matches the Rfam family "tRNA". From Rfam's summary of the family: Transfer RNA (tRNA) molecules are approximately 80 nucleotides in length. The record is from RNAcentral. Lineage: Bacteria; Pseudomonadati; Bacteroidota.
GGGGGUGUAGCUCAGCGGUAGAGCAACCGGCUUAUACCCGGUGUUGGCGCCAGAUCAGCGCAAGGUCGUGGGUUCGAAUCCCACCGCCCCUACCA